GACGAACCGUGCAAACGUUGUUCGGAAUCACUGGGCUUAAAGGGCGCGUAGGCGGCUUGCCAAGUCAGGGGUGAAAUACUUCAGCUUAACUGGAGAAGUGCCCUUGAUACUGGUUGGCUAGAGGGAGGUAGGGGCAUGUGGAACUUCUGGUGGAGCGGUGAAAUGCGUUGAUAUCAGAAGGAACGCCGGUGGCGAAAGCGACGUGCUGGACCUCUUCUGACGCUGAGGCGCGAAAGCUAGGGGAGCAAACGGG
This 253-nucleotide ribosomal RNA is filed under the name uncultured bacterium. RNAcentral describes it as "partial 16S ribosomal RNA". It matches the Rfam family "Bacterial small subunit ribosomal RNA", at positions 524 to 776 of the family's 1533-position model. The record is from RNAcentral.